RNAcentral lists this ribosomal RNA (425 nucleotides) under uncultured bacterium. Its description in RNAcentral is "bacterial SSU rRNA". It matches the Rfam family "Bacterial small subunit ribosomal RNA", at positions 359 to 776 of the family's 1533-position model. The record is from RNAcentral.
GAAUAUUGGACAAUGGGGGAAACCCUGAUCCAGCAAUGCCGCGUGUGUGAAGAAGGCCUGCGGGUUGUAAAGCACUUUCAGUAGAGAAGAAAAGCCUGGGGAUAAUACCCUCGGGUCUUGACGUUACCUACAGAAGAAGCUCCGGCUAACUCCGUGCCCGCAGCCGCGGUAAUACGGAGGGAGCGAGCGUUAAUCGGAAUUACUGGGCGUAAAGCGCACGUAGGUGGCUUUGUAAGUCGGAUGUGAAAGCCCUGGGCUUAACCUGGGAAUGGCAUUCGAUACUGCAUCGCUAGAGUAUGGUAGAGGGAAGUGGAAUUUCCGGUGUAGCGGUGAAAUGCGUAGAUAUCGGAAGGAACACCAGUGGCGAAGGCGACUUCCUGGGCCAAUACUGACACUGAGGUGCGAAAGCGUGGGGAGCAAACAGG